This 468-nucleotide ribosomal RNA is filed under the name uncultured bacterium. Its description in RNAcentral is "partial 16S ribosomal RNA". It matches the Rfam family "Bacterial small subunit ribosomal RNA", at positions 28 to 507 of the family's 1533-position model. The record is from RNAcentral.
GACGAACGCUGGCGGCGUGCUUAACACAUGCAAGUCGAACGGAAAGGCCCUGCUUUUGUGGGGUGCUCGAGUGGCGAACGGGUGAGUAACACGUGAGUAACCUGCCCUUGACUUUGGGAUAACUUCAGGAAACUGGGGCUAAUACCGGAUAGGAGCUCCUGCUGCAUGGUGGGGGUUGGAAAGUUUCGGCGGUUGGGGAUGGACUCGCGGCUUAUCAGCUUGUUGGUGGGGUAGUGGCUUACCAAGGCUUUGACGGGUAGCCGGCCUGAGAGGGUGACCGGACACAUGGGGACUGAGAUACGGCCCAGACUCCUACGGGAGGCAGGAGUGGGGAAUAUUGCACAAUGGGCGGAAGCCUGAUGCAGCAACGCCGCGUGCGGGAUGACGGCCUUCGGGUUGUAAACCGCUUUCGCCUGUGACGAAGCGUGAGUGACGGUAAUGGGUAAAGAAGCACCGGCUAACUACGUG